This is a long non-coding RNA of Lemur catta (Ring-tailed lemur), 1395 nucleotides long. RefSeq lists it as uncharacterized. NCBI's taxonomy places the organism in Eukaryota, Metazoa, Chordata, Mammalia, Primates, Lemuridae. The record is from RefSeq and is a predicted model, not a curated record. The transcript is spliced from 3 exons.
AAUGGGGGAGGGGAAGCAGUUCUUUAUGUAGUGCAUCAAAUCAAUUAAACUGUAUUGUGAGCUCACUAUGGUCAUGGUAAUUAUACAACAAAGUGGCAGUAGAGACUGUAUCUAUAUAUCUCGGCCUGUGUCUCAGCAUCUAACAAGCAGCCUGGCACAUAGCCAACAAUCAGUAAAAAUUUGAUAAACAGAUGGAAAAAGACAUUGCAUUGAAUACUGUGGUGGGAAGGAACCAUGGAGUUCAGUGCACACGAAGAGGAGUGAAAUAUAGUCCUUAACUUUAAAGAGUUUGUAAUCUCACAAGGGAGAUUGUUCCAGUCACAAUUAGCCAUCAUUCAAGGUAGACUAUACACAGACAAGGGUGAUUAAUUCUGUUUUGGGGUGAUCAGGGAAAAUUUGAACAGAAAUGAAAUAAAAGUGAGUGGUGAAGGGUGAGUUGGAUGAGUCAGGCUGAGAAUGGCAAAUGGAAGGAAAACUGAGAGGAGUGAAAGUUUGAAACACGAGGGCUGUUGAGGCUUAGGGGAGUUGUAAAUAAUUCUCCAUUUCCCCCCUCUGGAAUUUCAGAGUCAGUUGAGAAGUCGUGCGGGGGUCACUCAGAGACCAGCAUCUCAGCUUUAUUAUUGAUUAGGACCUCACUCCCCCAUUUCCCCUUGCAGGUCAGACGUGUUCUGGUAAGCUCACUGCGUGGAUGAACAGGGUGAGGACAGCCCAUUCCAAAAGGAAGAAAGGAAAAAGCCACAUAGGCUCCCUUCCUUCUCUCAAACUUAUCCAUCUCUAGGAAGAAGUAAGCCAGGAGCCACAGAUAAAAGAGGCUUAGAACUACUGCUUCCAAAUUUUUCCAUCCUGGAGGCCUGAGCUGGGGAGCUUAGAAUUUUGAUCAUUACACUGGAUUUGACUGUUAAAGCUUGAUCUGCGAGAACGAUGGCUGCUAAAACAGACUUGGAAUAAAGAACAUCGCAGAUAGCAUGUAGGGCCACCAGAAGGGCCCCCUGAACUUGGAGAUAAAAAUCAAUGUCUGAUAACAGAAAAAAAAAUAAAAAUUAAAGAUAUGAUCUCUGCACACAAAAAUAAAUUUCAGUGUAUUGCUUAGGAGACUAGAACAAUCUGAUGCUUUCCAGGAUGCAUUCUUAGAACUGGAACACAAUGAAGAGGGUAGUAACAAAAAUCACUUGUGCUAUAAUAUAACAUGAUUGUAUAAAGGCUGUGUUAAAUAUAGAUCAUUGUCCUACAUGGAGCACAAAAAAAUUGGAAUCUUGAAGGAUAAGAAUAUUUUCAUUUGUCCUACCAUAUGCAGGGAGAAGUGUCCAAAGCAGACAGCAUUGUGAAUCCAGUUGGCUUCCUUCUCAGUUUUAUCCCAUGGUGGAGAUGAGCGCAUUAGGCUAUCAGAGCUUAAUA